CGUCUUCCUCUUGUCUCCCAGAUAAAAUACAAACUCCUCAUCCUGGUAUUUAAAAUUCUUUGCCACCAACCUUUUUAGACUUUUUACAUUGGCACUCCCCAUUUUCAGCCAAAACAACUUUCUGGCUCUUUCCUAUGUACAUAUUUCUAUCUUUUGCUUCUAUGGCUUUCCACAAAUUGUCACUUCUAUCUGUAAUACACUCUUUACUUGCUUUCCCUUAUUUGAUUACAUAGCUUCUUUCCGAGUUAUAACUUAGAUGCCACCAAGUAUGUGAGGUCUUUCCUCACUUUCACUGGUAGGAGGACUCUCUCUUGAUAGUACUGUAGGAAUAUAAGGGAUAUGACUGGUUUUCUAGGGUUAGUGGAAAGAAGGGAAUUUUGAGAUAAGCCCUGGGAAAGGAUUCUGGGUAGGAAGGGAUUGUGGGAGUCUAAAACUGAAAAUAACUGAACUUCACUUCCUUCUUGGAUUUCAUCUGAGCUGGAAGUGGGUUUUGUCUCUGCCUAUAAUUUCAAGCUGAAGGAGGAGUUUUGCUCUAAGAGAUUCUCCCUGGAAAGCCAGGAUUUUCAUGGAGAAAAUCUUUGACAUCCAGGUAGAGCAUUUACUUGGAGAAAACUAAUUUCCCUGAGUCCAGUCUUCAUUUGGAAAUGGUCUAUCUAUCAGAAUUCCUAUUGGCAAAGGUUUCUAGGACAAAUUGCCUGGAUUUCAGUAAGCACAGCAAUCAGUGGAGUGAAACAUACCAGUCUGUGACUGAGAGGUUAUCUGUGUUCCAGCAUGUGUUAAUAGCUAUGCUUCAGAGUGCCAUGGUGUAGAGGAGGAGUGACUUUCGUUGAUUACCAACUAACUGUUAACCACUCAGACAAAUAUGAGGUGGCUGAACAAGAAUAUCUCCAGGAGUCUUUGACAGAAGUGGAGCAGGGAUUCAUACCAGCCUGCUUCAGAGGAAUAAUCUAUUUAGGGACCUAGAAAGAUGACAAGAUGAAUGGAUUUGGAGGACUUGGACAUUUUCCAGGAGUACUAUAUGAGGGAUAAUUCAAGGGCAGCACGUCUCAUGGUACAAGGACAUAUACAUUCCCAAAUGGAACCAAAUACACUGGAAGUUUCAUAGAAAACAGAGUGCAAGAUAAAGGAGAAUAGACUGACAUUCGUGGAUUGGAACGGAGAGGUCACUUUCAUUACCCAGCUGGGCCAGGGCUGAAACAAGCAACAGAUGGCGAAGGUCUCUAAACUGAAGUAAGAACAGGAAGCUGAGGAUAUUCAUAAGCAAUUAUGACCAAGUAUUUCCAGUAAAAAUUUCAUGUACUACUUUCUGUACUAUGAGUUAUCCAAUAAAACCGUCCAGCCAUUUCUCUCCCUGUGACUU
This 1360-nucleotide long non-coding RNA is filed under the name Monodelphis domestica (gray short-tailed opossum). Its description in RNAcentral is "lncRNA (ENSMODG00000042058.1)". Lineage: Eukaryota; Metazoa; Chordata; Mammalia; Didelphimorphia; Didelphidae. The record is from RNAcentral.